RNAcentral lists this unclassified non-coding RNA (375 nucleotides) under Hevea brasiliensis (rubber tree). The record is from RNAcentral. Lineage: Eukaryota; Viridiplantae; Streptophyta; Magnoliopsida; Malpighiales; Euphorbiaceae.
GUCUGGGAUGAUGAUUCUCGCUUCGCCGACGCGGCGAAAUGCCGCGCCUUCAUCGCCCGGAGCCUGCUGCUUGAGUGCGAGACUAAGAAUCGGAAGAAAAAUACGCUGAUCCGAGCGGGGUACGGGGGGUGGCUGCUGUACACCGCUGCCGCGGCUGGGGACAUGGGAUUUGUGCAGGAGUUACUUGAUAGAGAACCGCUUCUGGUUUUCGGAGAAGGCGAGUUUGGGGUUACUGAUAUUUUCUAUGCUGCCGCAAGGAGUAAGGAUUGUGGGGUUUUCAGGGUUUUGCUUGAUUCGGCGUUAUCGCCAGCCAAGUCUUUGAUGGGUGGCGCCGGCGGUGGGGGAGGAGAGAUUGAGGAGGAGAGGGGCAGGGAU